RNAcentral lists this transfer RNA (83 nucleotides) under Flavonifractor plautii DSM 6740. Its description in RNAcentral is "tRNA-Leu". It matches the Rfam family "tRNA". Rfam says of the family: Transfer RNA (tRNA) molecules are approximately 80 nucleotides in length. RNAcentral also lists the same sequence under 1 other name. The record is from RNAcentral. Lineage: Bacteria; Bacillati; Bacillota; Clostridia; Eubacteriales; Oscillospiraceae.
GCGGGCGUGGUGGAACUGGCAGACUCGACGGAUUUAGGUUCCGUUACCUUCAUGGUGUGCGGGUUCGACUCCCGCCGCCCGCA